Molecule: ribosomal RNA, 429 nt
Filed under: Gemmatimonadota bacterium
Lineage: Bacteria; Pseudomonadati; Gemmatimonadota
Description: Gemmatimonadetes bacterium partial 16S ribosomal RNA
Rfam family: Bacterial small subunit ribosomal RNA
Source: RNAcentral
UAGGGAAUCUUCGGCAAUGGACGAAAGUCUGACCGAGCAACGCCGCGUGAGUGAAGAAGGUUUUCGGAUCGUAAAACUCUGUUGUUAGAGAAGAACAAGGACGUUAGUAACUGAACGUCCCCUGACGGUAUCUAACCAGAAAGCCACGGCUAACUACGUGCCAGCAGCCGCGGUAAUACGUAGGUGGCAAGCGUUGUCCGGAUUUAUUGGGCGUAAAGCGAGCGCAGGCGGUUUCUUAAGUCUGAUGUGAAAGCCCCCGGCUCAACCGGGGAGGGUCAUUGGAAACGGGGAGACUUGAGUGCAGAAGAGGGGAGUGGAAUUCCAUGUGUAGCGGUGAAAUGCGUAGAUAUAUGGGGGAACACCAGUGGCGAAGGCGGCUCUCUGGUCUGUAACUGACGCUGAGGCUCGAAAGCGUGGGGAGCAAACAGG